UGGCGGACGGGUGAGUAACGCGUGGGCAACCUGCCCUGUACUGGGGGAUAACACCUGGAAACAGGUGCCUAAUACCGCAUAAGCGCGCUGUGCCGCAUGGCGCGGCGCGGAAAACCCCGGUGGUACAGGAUGGGCCCGCGUCUGAUUAGCUGGUUGGCAGGGUAACGGCCUACCAAGGCGACGAUCAGUAGCCGGCCUGAGAGGGUGGACGGCCACACUGGGACUGAGACACGGCCCAGACUCCUACGGGAGGCAGCAG
Molecule: ribosomal RNA, 259 nt
Filed under: uncultured bacterium
Lineage: Bacteria
Description: partial 16S ribosomal RNA
Rfam family: Bacterial small subunit ribosomal RNA
Source: RNAcentral